RNAcentral lists this unclassified non-coding RNA (386 nucleotides) under Hevea brasiliensis (rubber tree). The record is from RNAcentral. Lineage: Eukaryota; Viridiplantae; Streptophyta; Magnoliopsida; Malpighiales; Euphorbiaceae.
AAUAUCUUUUCAAUAGGGACUUCAUGACGCUUACACCACGCGACUGUGAUUCGAGGAUCAAGGUAGUUGAUCUUUGACGUGCCCAAGGCUACAGUUUUCAAAUCCUCUUUAGUCUUCAUAUCUCGCUCUAUCUUCUCAAUCUUUGCAUUCGUUUGGGAUAUUUUCUUCUCUAACGCUUCAGGGGUCAAAUUCCUCUUUCGCUUUCCAUCAGCAUCUUUUAAAGGGGGCUUCCCUUUCUUUGCUCUAUCUAAAUCAAUUUUCAGCUCUUUCAGAAUGUCCCUGAGCUCAGAGAUCUUCUCAUUCAAUCUUGUCAUUUGCGCCCCAUGCGAUUUUGAAACAGUCCGCUGGUGAUUACAAAUAAUUGCAACCUCCUUGUUUGCGUGCUG